Molecule: unclassified non-coding RNA, 202 nt
Filed under: fungal sp.
Lineage: Eukaryota; Fungi
Description: partial internal transcribed spacer region
Rfam family: Eukaryotic small subunit ribosomal RNA (bases 1-46)
Source: RNAcentral
AAGUCGUAACAAGGUUUCCGUAGGUGAACCUGUGGAAGGAUCAUCACGAGAGGUCGCCGCAAGGCGCACCACAACACUGUGUUGCCGAGCGAUGAGUGUAGCGCAUUGCGCUGCACACGUCUAUUGACACCAUGCAAACUGAAUCAGCCCUAAUAGCAACCAACAACAAACACAACUGUUAGCAACGGAUCACUUGGUUCUC